UACGUAGGUGGCAAGCGUUGUCCGGAAUUAUUGGGCGUAAAGCGCGCGCAGGCGGCUUCUUAAGUCUGAUGUGAAAUCCCGGGGCUCACCCCGAGCGGCCAUUGGAAACUGGGGAGCUUGAGUGCAGAAGAGGAGAGUGGAAUUCCACGUGUAGCGGUGAAAUGCGUAGAGAUGUGGAGGAACACCAGUGGCGAAGGCGGCUCACUGGUCCGGUACUGACGCUGAGGUGCGAAAGCGUGGGGAGCAAACAGG
Molecule: ribosomal RNA, 252 nt
Filed under: uncultured bacterium
Lineage: Bacteria
Description: partial 16S ribosomal RNA
Rfam family: Bacterial small subunit ribosomal RNA
Source: RNAcentral